Molecule: transfer RNA, 73 nt
Filed under: Gloeobacter violaceus PCC 7421
Lineage: Bacteria; Bacillati; Cyanobacteriota; Cyanophyceae; Gloeobacterales; Gloeobacteraceae
Also listed under: 2 other names
Description: tRNA-Pro (TGG) (tRNA-Pro-TGG-1-1)
Rfam family: tRNA
About the family: Transfer RNA (tRNA) molecules are approximately 80 nucleotides in length. Their secondary structure includes four short double-helical elements and three loops (D, anti-codon, and T loops).
Source: Rfam by way of RNAcentral
CGGGAUGUGGCGCAGGUGGUAGCGCGCGGAGUUUGGGACUCUGAGGUCGCAGGUUCGAAUCCUGUCAUCCCGA